AGCGAACGCUGGCGGCAGGCCUAACACAUGCAAGUCGAACGGAUCCUUCGGGAUUAGUGGCGGACGGGUGAGUAACACGUGGGAACGUGCCCUUUGGUUCGGAACAACUCAGGGAAACUUGAGCUAAUACCGGAUGUGCCCUGCGGGGGAAAGAUUUAUCGCCAUUGGAGCGGCCCGCGUCUGAUUAGCUAGUUGGUGAGGUAACGGCCCACCAAGGCGACGAUCAGUAGCUGGUCUGAGAGGAUGAUCAGCCACACUGGGACUGAGACACGGCCCAGACUCCUACGGGAGGCAGCAGUGGGGAAUCUUGCGCAAUGGGCGAAAGCCUGACGCAGCCAUGCCGCGUGAAUGAUGAAGGUCUUAGGAUUGUAAAAUUCUUUCAGCGGGGACGAUAAUGACGGUACCCGCAGAAGAAGCUCCGGCUAACUUCGUG
This 433-nucleotide ribosomal RNA is filed under the name uncultured bacterium. RNAcentral describes it as "partial 16S ribosomal RNA". It matches the Rfam family "Bacterial small subunit ribosomal RNA", at positions 29 to 507 of the family's 1533-position model. The record is from RNAcentral.